RNAcentral lists this long non-coding RNA (4448 nucleotides) under Sorghum bicolor (sorghum). RNAcentral's name for it is "long non-coding RNA (SBIC_LNC011444)". Lineage: Eukaryota; Viridiplantae; Streptophyta; Magnoliopsida; Poales; Poaceae. The record is from RNAcentral.
GUCUCAACCCAGGCCAGGUUGCUGCACUGCAAGCCGAGACAGGGACGGCUGAACUGAACACGGAAGCCUAGCUCUAAUUGGGGCCCCAGCAGCUGAGGUACAUGACGGUCCUCAUCCCCUCCUCCGCCUUGUCCGCCCGCUUCUUCUCCGCCGGCGCCAGCUUCUUCUUGGCCUGCGCGAAGCUGGGAGCGUUGGCCUUGGCGGCCCGGUGGACGGACCGCAGCGCGUAGUUCCAGCGACAGAGCCCCGCCUGGUCCUUGAGCGCCUCCACGGCGCCCACGCUCAUGGCCACCAUCCACGACGCCUUCGCUGCAGCGGCCAUCUUUGUAUCUGCUUCUUGAGCUGGAGCCUAACGCGCCUUGUUUUUGCUACAGAGUGAGAUCUGGUUGUUGCCUUGGUGAAUUGGUGAUCGGUGUAGAUGCUGUGAGUGAGCGAGGUGGGGCGUGGUGGGUUAUAUAUACCGGAGGGAGGACUGCAAACAAGCGGCCGCGGGCGCUGGUUUUCCUGGAUACCGGGGGCUCUCCGCUCUCAUUGCCUUGUUUCCCGGCAGGUCGCUUUCCCCGCACCGGCCCCUUGCUCGGCUCACCUAUCUCGUCGUCUUGUUUAUUCGCCGCAGAAACGGCCGGUCUUCAGUGUCGCGGGCAGAAACGACGAAGAGCGUGCCGCGCAACCGUUUCUGCCACAGCACACGAGCACGAUGCAUCUUCUCUCAAAGCAAGGCUAAUAAUAUAGCCGGCUGCUGGGCUGUAAGGUUUUUUUACAGCUUUUUUACGGUCUACUCAUAUAAUGGUUAGCUCAUCACUAUUAAUAUAUGACUCACUUGUCUGUCUUAUAAAUUUUUUUGGUUUUUGUGUCUGAGCCGGCUGCAAGGCCAGUCUCAGUGGAGGUUUCACCAGGAUGUUAUGCACAUUUAUUAGAGCGCCAUGUCAGCAAAACUGCACUUUUUGCAUGAAACAAAGAGAAGAGAGAAGGAAGUAGUUUCACCAUGGUGAAACUCCGCUGGCGUUGUUUCCCACGCGGUGAAACAGGAUGAAAUCUCCAUUGAGGACUAAAUCGUUUCACCAUCUUGCAUGUGAUCCAAUCAUUUUGCAGUAAUUAAAUGCUUUGCCCAGCUUAGGAAAUAUCAAGAUGGAACUCUGCGUUGUGGAGGUUGUUUCAUUUUUCGUUUCAUUGAUGCUCUGUCAGCAUAUUUGUUUUGGAAACAGUGCAUUGAAACGGGCCAUUGAGACUGACCUAAGUUUACAGGCUGCUUUUACUCUCUCUCCUAUUCUCUCUCUUCCAUCUCAGCAUUUAGUCAGCUUACAGCUUGCUAUAAUACUUGCUCUUACAGUAGUACUGAAAACUGGAGUACAAUUUGGUCUACCAAUUAGGAAGGAAUCAAGCAAAGUAGAUGUUUUUUUUUAUGUUUUAUAUAUCCUACCAAGUGGUGGCCGCCCGUGCGUUGUCAGCGAACAUGAGGGAGGGAGGGAGCUGCCAGAUUUAAGGUCUCACUCGAGUCGUCCAGCAGUCCAGGAAUCUUCUUGCUUUCUUGAUGAAUUUGAGCGGCAUUAAGCUAAUCUGUUUCCACGCACUGAGUCACAUGAGUUAGCUGCAGUUGUUACCGCGUGCUUUUGGAGCAGCAGCGAGAAGAGCCCGACACUCGUUUGGCUUAUAAGCCAUAGCAAAAAAUAUUGUUAGCUGAUUUGUUAUAAAAGAAAAAUAUUAUUGAAUAACUAGCCGAUUGAGAGCGAUUGCUGAUGCCUGAUGCAGUUUAUGUGGAGGGAAAAUGGUAUUUGAACAUAGAUAACGCUCUGCUGUGGUCGUCUGUGAGACUGUGACUCAGCUUCUCAGCAACUAGCUACAUCAACCUGACGUUCAGUACUGGGCUUCAUCCAUCUCGUUUGUCUUCCAUCAACACUUCUCGAGAGCCAAAUGCUAGUUUGGGGGUAUGUCCUCUGUACUUCUUCAGCGGGUUGUUUGGGAGUAGAAAGAACUAGAAACUGUCAAACUGAAAUGGAGACCGUGCUGUUACUUUGCUUCAUCAUAAAGAUAAACGCCGCUAUUUCCCUAAAUAAAACGUUGGAGCUCAGACCUGAGAUUAACUUAACCUCCGAUCAGCAUGAGUUAGACUGUAUAAGCUUUUUUUUCUUAUCAUUAUGCUCUAAAGGGUCAUCAAGUGACGGGGUUCAGAACCUGAGAUUAUCAUCUCAAAUCUGCCUUGAUCGAUUGUUCUACCGUACCGUAGCACAUCGAAGCAAGCAACGAACCACAGAAAGCUAUUGUUGAGUUGUUUUGAGCGCAAAGAGAGAUCGAGGAGAGCACAGUACUCCAAUUACAGAAGGCAGAAGCAUUCAUUCAUAUACUCAGAAUGAAGAAACAGAACUUUUCAUCAUCAUCAUCGUGGUCAUAUUUUUACAACCAGAGGACCGAUCUGGGUUACUGAAAGCUGGAAAAGAGCUAGAGGACCUAAGCAACUAUGCCCAAUAACUAAUUAGGGCCCCAGCAGCUGAGGUACAUGACGGUCCUCAUCCCCUCCUCGGCCUUGUCCGCCCGCCUCCUCUCCGCCGGCGCCAGCUUCUUCUUGGCCUGUGCGAAGCUGGGAGCGUUGGCCUUGGCGGCCUGGUGGAUGGACCGCAGCGCGUAGUUCCAGCGGCAGAGCCCCGCCUGGUCCUUGAGCGCCUCCACGGCGCCCACACUCAUCGCCACCAUCCACGACGCCUUCGCUGCUGCCGCCAUGUCCGUCCUUCUCCUGCUCCUCCUCGGUUCUUGGUGGCUACAGAGUUCGGUUGGUCAGGUGUGCUGCUCGCUGAAUCGCCGAUGACUCACAGUAGGAUGUCAAGUUGUGUGAUGCUGUGUUGUGGUGAGCUGGGAGGCGGGCCGGCGGGGCGAGUUAUAUAGCGGAGGGAGGCCGGCCGCGAGGGGUGGGCCGGCGGAAACAGGUGGCCGCGGACGCUGGUUUCCCUGGAUACCGGGGGCUCCGAUCGCACUCUCCUCCAUGCUUGUCUACGUUACGCCGCAGAGGCGAUCGCUUUCUCGGCACCACACCGGCCCAGUGGGUCACUUGGCUAUCUUGUCUUGUUCCGUGAUGGGAUAACGCAUCUCUGGAUCACUGAAUCUAGUCUGCUUGUGCUUUACAAUUGUCCUUUCGGUUUUUACCAUAUGGCUUAGCUGAUUAUAUUAAACUAAUCCGUUUCUAAUGCAAUGAAGCACAUGGAUUUGCUGCAGAUUUUUUUAUUAUUUAUUUAUUUUACCACAUACUCAUGGAUCACUGAGAGGGACAUUGCGGGAUUGCUGGACGCCAUAGGACAUGGUUUCCAGGAUACCGUGGGCUAUUCCGCUAUUUGCUGAUGCCAUUCGGGCAUGUUUGGUUACGGUCCUACCAGACCACCAAUCAAACACGUCCUUUAUGCGUCUAUAUAGAAAAAAAAAACUAUUUAAACACCACCGUGCUGCGGGCAUGUGGCCUGUGACUGACAGCUUCUCAAUGAACCGUACUUUUACGGAAGCAAUCAAAUUUUACCUGUCUGGCGGUGGUUCAAACAUGAACAACCCCUAACUUCCCUUCUUUCUGCUUCUGUCAUUUACCGACGACUCCCAUGUCGUCCUCUUGCCGUGACAGGGAUGAUAUCACCCUUUUCCCUGUCAUGGACUCGUGUGUCAUUUAGCAACCGCUGAUUAUUGCAAAGUAGAGAGUGCCACACGGAAAUAGAGGCCGUGCUGUUGCUUUGCUUCACCACAAAUCAAGCACAGUUUUUUCCCCCCUAAAAACUUGGACGCCAUGUUCAUGUCUAACUGAAUUCUGUUCAUUAAUGUGGACUAGGUAAAGGUGUGCGAGGUUCGCACGGGUAGGCCUGAAAUGAAGCUUUAAAAAACUGUGCUUGAUCUAUGCUGUCAUUUCCUCCGCUGCUGCGGGUCAUGGUCAUCAAAGUGCAGUGUUCAGAAUAUGAGGUUAUCAUCUCAUAGCAUUUGAGUGAUUGUCGCUGCUUUAAUUAGCACACCGAAGCAUCGAAUUCGAAUCCCCACGAACUCUUGUCAGCGCAGAGGAUUCGUAGAAAGCACAACAACAAGCAUUAGGCAACAGAAGCAUCCAUAUACUUGGAUGAACUGACAGAACUUUUCACCAUCAUCAUUUGCUCUUCUAUAUUUACAGUCAGGAGGACGAAUCGGCCGCCAAGCUCGCUCAUCUGCUGAAACCUCAAAGCUGGAACAGAGCAAGAGGACCUAAGAGGCUAAGACCUAUGACGACUAAUUAGGGCCCCAGCAGCUGAGGUACAUGACCGUCCUCAACCCCUCCUCCGCGGCCUUGUCCGCCCGCCUCCUCUCCGCCGGCGCCGGCGCCAGCUUCUUGGCCUGCGCGAAGCUGGGAGCGUUGGCCUUGGCGGCCUGGUGGAUGGACCGCAGCGCGUAGUUCCAGCGGCAGAGCCCCGCCUGGUCCUUGAGCGCCUCCACGGCGCCCACGCUCAUCGCCA